Molecule: ribosomal RNA, 498 nt
Filed under: uncultured bacterium
Lineage: Bacteria
Description: partial 16S ribosomal RNA
Rfam family: Bacterial small subunit ribosomal RNA
Source: RNAcentral
AACGAACGCUGGCGGUAUGCCUUACACAUGCAAGUCGAACGGUAACGCGGGGCAACCUGGCGACGAGUGGCGAACGGGUGAGUAAUAUAUCGGAACGUGCCCAGUAGUGGGGGAUAGCCCGGCGAAAGCCGGAUUAAUACCGCAUACGACCUACGGGUGAAAGCGGGGGAUCGCAAGACCUCGCGCUAUUGGAGCGGCCGAUAUCAGAUUAGGUAGUUGGUGGGGUAAAGGCCUACCAAGCCUGCGAUCUGUAGCUGGUCUGAGAGGACGACCAGCCACACUGGGACUGAGACACGGCCCAGACUCCUACGGGAGGCAGCAGUGGGGAAUUUUGGACAAUGGGCGAAAGCCUGAUCCAGCCAUGCCGCGUGCGGGAAGAAGGCCUUCGGGUUGUAAACCGCUUUUGUCAGGGAAGAAACGCUCUGGGCUAAUACCCCGGGGUAAUGACGGUACCUGAAGAAUAAGCACCGGCUAACUACGUGCCAGCCGCCGCGGUAA